RNAcentral lists this ribosomal RNA (301 nucleotides) under uncultured bacterium. RNAcentral describes it as "partial 16S ribosomal RNA". It matches the Rfam family "Bacterial small subunit ribosomal RNA", at positions 509 to 807 of the family's 1533-position model. The record is from RNAcentral.
CAGUAGCCGCGGUAAUACGGAGGGGGCUAGCGUUGUUCGGAAUUACUGGGCGUAAAGCGCACGUAGGCGGCUUGGUAAGUUAGAGGUGAAAGCCCGGAGCUCAACUCCGGAAUUGCCUUUAAGACUGCCGAGCUAGCAGGUGAGAGAGGUAAGUGGAAUUCCGAGUGUAGAGGUGAAAUUCGUAGAUAUUCGGAAGAACACCAGUGGCGAAGGCGGCUUACUGGCUCAUACUGGACGCUGAGGUGCGAAAGCGUGGGGAGCAAACAGGAUUAGAUACCCCAGUAGUCCCUGUCUCUUAUAC